Molecule: transfer RNA, 69 nt
Filed under: Triticum aestivum (bread wheat)
Lineage: Eukaryota; Viridiplantae; Streptophyta; Magnoliopsida; Poales; Poaceae
Also listed under: 1 other name
Rfam family: tRNA
About the family: Transfer RNA (tRNA) molecules are approximately 80 nucleotides in length. Their secondary structure includes four short double-helical elements and three loops (D, anti-codon, and T loops).
Source: Rfam by way of RNAcentral
UCCACUAUUUAAUUGGUAGAGUACAAAGCUCUUAACCUUGUGGACGUGGGUUCAAGCCCCAUGGUGGAG